AUAAGUUUCAUCAAUCUUUUGGCGACAAACUCCACAAGACCAUUCUUGUGAUGGGAGAGAAUAAACAAAAGAAACUCGGUGUUUGUGACGAGAUAUUUUUAUGACGUAUGGUAAAUAUAUGCAAUGUCUAUGAACAAUGAAAUCACAAUGAAGACAUACGAAGAUGAAAGACUUGUUAUCAUCUAAGCCACACACAUCACAUCUCAAGAUGGAUUUUCUUGGAAAGAAGUAUAGGGUAUGCUGGUGCCUUUUGUGAUUUGUAAUGAGUGGGGGUUUCCUCACACAAACCGGAUCCAAAUUAAAAUUACAAAUAGAUCAAUGGUAAACCAAGCCAGUACGGUAUGAGCUACAGGAAUGGCAUUCCAGCCAUUCAACCCUGCUGUUAUUAUCAAAGAUGUAAAGCUGGAGAGAAUGUUUAGGAUGAUAAGGAGAUUUGAACGUAGGGGGAGACUCGACACAUUCUUUGUGGUACCAUCUGUCACAAUCAUUACAAAAGUAAUAGGUUGUGCCGAUAGUAUUAUGCCAACAAGCCCCACAAUUUUCCUCUAUUAUUUCGUCAUCAAUAGAUAGUAUGAGUGUUUCUUUAUUGUUGCACCAGAAAAGAGGGAGAAGAUGGUGAGAAUGUGAAAAUUCGUCAUCUUCGUCAUUAGAAAAAUAAUAAGACUUAUCCACUGUGCGAUAAUAUGCCUCACCAAUUUUCUUUUUGAGAUCCGCUAUUUCUGUACAUCGGUCGUUUGGCAGGGCAUACGAGACGGGAAGAAAGAGGGUGGUCGAUGGAAUCCAUGGACGCUAUGUGCUCCAAAGAUAUUUAAAUGGUUAGAGAUUUUGAGAGAUUCAGUUUAGAUGUU
RNAcentral lists this long non-coding RNA (848 nucleotides) under Eutrema salsugineum. Its description in RNAcentral is "long non-coding RNA (ESAL_LNC001481)". The record is from RNAcentral. Lineage: Eukaryota; Viridiplantae; Streptophyta; Magnoliopsida; Brassicales; Brassicaceae.